UGGGGAAUCUUGCGCAAUGGGCGAAAGCCUGACGCAGCAACGCCGCGUGGAGGAUGAAGGCCCUUGGGUUGUAAACUCCUGUCGGCUGGGAAGAAAUCUUUCGGGGCUAAUACUCCCGGAAGUUGACUGUACCAGCAAAGGAAGCCCCGGCUAACUCUGUGCCAGCAGCCGCGGUAAUACAGAGGGGGCCAGCGUUAUUCGGAAUUAUUGGGCGUAAAGGGCGCGUAGGCGGCCAUGCGUGUCUUCCGUGAAAUCCCUCGGCUUAACUGAGGACGUGCGGAAGAAACUGCAAGGCUCGAGUCCGGGAGAGGGGGGUGGAAUUCCCAGUGUAGCGGUGAAAUGCGUAGAUAUUGGGAGGAACACCGGUGGCGAAGGCGGCCCCCUGGACCGGAACUGACGCUGAGGCGCGAAAGCGUGGGUAGCAAACGG
This 429-nucleotide ribosomal RNA is filed under the name uncultured bacterium. RNAcentral's name for it is "bacterial SSU rRNA". It matches the Rfam family "Bacterial small subunit ribosomal RNA", at positions 355 to 775 of the family's 1533-position model. The record is from RNAcentral.